GACAUUCCUGAUCGCCUCAUUUUUCCCGGUAUGCCUCUCAGGGCUGAGGUGGGGAACCCGCCUGAGGAGGAUUUCGUGAGGAUUCCACGUUGGACACCAGGAUCAGCAGUCAAUGACACAACAUCUAAAUCUCUUUCUUCGGAGCGGAGUGGUUUGCAGGGCUCCAAUACAAUGCAGCACUGGAGAUAGCAAGACUUAAUUCUCCCAGGAUUGUGCUGUCUCCCAGCAAUCACAGGGAUUCUGGACUAGAAAAUUAACUUGUUAAAAGCUCUAGCCAUCACUCUCUGAGUCUGAUAGACAAAUCCAUCCA
This is a long non-coding RNA of Cyprinus carpio carpio, 310 nucleotides long. The record is from Ensembl. Lineage: Eukaryota; Metazoa; Chordata; Actinopteri; Cypriniformes; Cyprinidae.